Molecule: non-coding RNA, 23 nt
Filed under: Arabidopsis thaliana (thale cress)
Lineage: Eukaryota; Viridiplantae; Streptophyta; Magnoliopsida; Brassicales; Brassicaceae
Source: RNAcentral
GUUGUGUGGUUUGGUUGCUCCCA